RNAcentral lists this ribosomal RNA (497 nucleotides) under uncultured bacterium. RNAcentral's name for it is "partial 16S ribosomal RNA". It matches the Rfam family "Bacterial small subunit ribosomal RNA", at positions 28 to 507 of the family's 1533-position model. The record is from RNAcentral.
GAUGAACGCUGGCGGCGUGCCUAAUACAUGCAAGUCGAGCGAACAGACGAGGAGCUUGCUCCUCUGACGUUAGCGGCGGACGGGUGAGUAACACGUGGAUAACCUACCUAUAAGACUGGGAUAACUUCGGGAAACCGGAGCUAAUACCGUAUAAUAUAUUGAACCGCAUGGUUCAAUAGUGAAAGACGGUUUUGCUGGCACUUAUAGCUGGAUCCGCGCCGCAUUAGCUAGUUGGUAAGGUAACGGCUUACCAAGGCGACGAUGCGUAGGCGAACUGAGAGGGUGAUAGGCCACACUGGAACUGAGACACGGUCCAGACUACUACGGGAGGCAGCAGUAGGGAAUCUUACGCAAUGGGCGAAAGCCUGACGGAGCAACGCCGCGUGAGUGAUGAAGGUCUUCGGAUCGUAAAACUCUGUUAUGAGGGAAGAACAAAUGUGUAAGUAAAUAUGCACGUAUUGACGGUACCUAAUAAGAAAGCAACGGCUAACUACGUG